AUUGAACGCUGGCGGCAGGCCUAACACAUGCAAGUCGAGCGGAAACGAAGGGAGCUUGCUCCCAGGCGUCGAGCGGCGGACGGGUGAGUAACACGUGAGAAUCUGCCCAUUAGUGGGGGACAACCCGGGGAAACUCGAGCUAAUACCGCAUAAUCCCUACGGGGGAAAGCAGGGGACCGUUUGGCAUUGCGCUGAUGGAUGCGCUCAGGUCGGAUUAGCUUGUUGGUGAGGUAAAGGCUCACCAAGGCGACGAUCCGUAGCUGGUCUGAGAGGAUGAUCAGCCACACUGGGACUGAGACACGGCCCAGACUCCUACGGGAGGCAGCAGUGGGGAAUCUUGGACAAUGGGGGCAACCCUGAUCCAGCCAUGCCGCGUGUGUGAAGAAGGCCUUCGGGUUGUAAAGCACUUUCAGCAGGGAGGAAGGCUUUGGCCGAAUAGGUUGAAGUACUUGACGUUACCUGCAGAAGAAGCACCGGCUAAUUUCGUGCCAGCAGCCGCCGUAA
RNAcentral lists this ribosomal RNA (504 nucleotides) under uncultured bacterium. RNAcentral's name for it is "partial 16S ribosomal RNA". It matches the Rfam family "Bacterial small subunit ribosomal RNA", at positions 29 to 523 of the family's 1533-position model. The record is from RNAcentral.